Molecule: small nucleolar RNA, 138 nt
Filed under: Ornithorhynchus anatinus (platypus)
Lineage: Eukaryota; Metazoa; Chordata; Mammalia; Monotremata; Ornithorhynchidae
Source: RNAcentral
CCCCUCUCAGGGUCACAUCUGGAGAGUUGCCAGUCCUCUACCAGUCUCCACCACGGGAGGGAGAGUCAAGCAGAGGCUAAUCCAUGCCAUUCCUAGUUUGGUCAGUGGCUAGCGAGUGGAAGGCAAUCUGCUACAAAC